This 250-nucleotide RNase MRP RNA is filed under the name Zostera marina. Its description in RNAcentral is "RNase MRP". It matches the Rfam family "RNase MRP". From Rfam's summary of the family: RNase MRP is an enzymatically active ribonucleoprotein with two distinct roles in eukaryotes. In mitochondria it plays a direct role in the initiation of mitochondrial DNA replication. The record is from Rfam by way of RNAcentral. Lineage: Eukaryota; Viridiplantae; Streptophyta; Magnoliopsida; Alismatales; Zosteraceae.
UUGUUAGAUAACGAAGUGAUUCGUAUUUUCAUGUAUGUGGAAAGUCCCCGAGCCGUUUCUCAGAAAUGAGUUAUUGGAAACAAUAAAAGCAUUUCCAUUGCAUUGUGUUUGAAAUCCUGAAGUUGAGACGAGUUUGGAACUUGUGAUGGAUUGAUGCAGAUUGCUUUAUGGUGCUUACUUUGGCUAAUAGACAGUUAUUCACUUGGCUAUCGUUGAUGACUUCCAAAACGGGGCUUAUGAUUAUCUAACA